Molecule: RNA transcript, 5232 nt
Organism: Populus euphratica (Euphrates poplar)
Lineage: Eukaryota; Viridiplantae; Streptophyta; Magnoliopsida; Malpighiales; Salicaceae
Gene name: Pentatricopeptide repeat (PPR-like) superfamily protein
Exons: 3
Source: RefSeq, a predicted model, not a curated record
UGUUCUAGAAACCUAGUGCAAAUGAUCCCAGCCCAGUUAUUAAAACCAGCCUGUCCUUCUCUCUCCUCCGGGCGGCGACGGGGAGUCUUCCUUUUUUCCUUUAACUCACUCGAAUAAUAUAUGGAGCGAUGUCUUCUCUCUUAGUGCAGAAGUCUGUUUCCCAAAUGGCUAAAAUGGUGGUUCUAAGACACAUUGCUUCAAAGCGAUCAAUAUCAACUUUUCCUUUUCUCUUUCAGAGAAUUAAACAAACAGAAAAAGAAAUAGUUGAAAUGUUCAAGGUACCCAGUUCAAAGGAUGAUGAAAUGCAGAACUUGCCCACGCAAAAUAGCAAGUUCUCGAGGAGAGACCCUUCGGUUAGGACAUUAGAUGAGAGGUUUAUAAGGAUUUUGAAGAUAUUUAAGUGGGGACCUGAUGCUGAAAAGGCCUUGGAAGUGCUCAAGUUGAAAGUGGAUCAUCGAUUGGUUCGUGAGGUUUUGAAGAUAGAUGUUGAAAUUAAUGUUAAGAUUCAGUUUUUCAAGUGGGCUGGCAAGAGGAGGAACUUUGAGCACGAUUUGACUACUUAUAUGCCUCUAAUCCGUUGUUUGGAUGACUGUGGGUUAUUUGGUGAAAUGUGGAAGAUGAUCCAAGAAAUGGUCAGGAGCCCGACGUGUGUCAUUGGUCCGGCUGAUUUGUCUGAAGUUGUGAAGAUAUUGGGCAAGGCCAAGAUGGUGAAUAAGGCACUUUCUGUCUUUUACCAGAUAAAGAGUCGCAAGUGCAAACCAACGGCGAGCACCUACAACUCUAUGAUUUUGAUGUUGAUGCAAGAAGGGCAUCAUGAAAAAAUUCACGAGCUUUACCAUGAGAUGUGUAAUGAGGGUAACUGUUUUCCAGACACAAUGACAUAUAGUGUGCUUAUUUCGGCGUUUGGGAAAUUGGAUCGGGAUGAUUAUGCUAUAAGGUUGUUCGAUGAGAUGAAGGCCAAUGGCUUGCAUCCAACUGCAAAGAUUUAUACUACCUUGCUGGCAAUCUACUUCAAGUCAGGUGAUGAGAAAGCUUUGGGUUUGGUGCAAGAGAUGAAGGAUGAGGGCUGUGCACCUACUGUCUUCACUUACACCGAGUUGAUUAAGGGGCUAGGAAAAUCUGGGAGGGUUGAAGAUGCCUACAGUGUAUUCUUGAAUAUGUUAAAGGAUGGUUGUAAGCCUGAUGUUGUGCUGAUAAACAAUUUGAUCAACAUUUUUGGAAAAGCAGGUCGCUUGGAAGAUGCGCUUAAGCUUUUUGACCAGAUGAGGUCUUGGAAGUGCGCGCCAAAUGUGGUUACAUACAACACUGUAAUCAAGGCUUUAUUUGAAUCCAAAGCUCCAGCUUCCGAGGCUGCUUCAUGGUUUGAGAAGAUGAAGGCAAAUGGUGUUGCUCCCAGCUCGUUUACAUACUCAAUUCUUAUUGAUGGUUUUUGCAAAACAAAUAGAGUUGAGAAAGCUCUAUUGCUUCUUGAAGAGAUGGAUGAAAAGGGUUUUCCGCCUUGUCCAGCUGCCUAUUGCAGCCUUAUCAACGCUCUUGGAAAGGCAAAACGAUAUGAAGCUGCAAAUGAGUUAUUUCUGGAGUUGAAAGAGAAUUGUGGACGUUCAAGUGCUCGUAUAUAUGCUGUGAUGAUAAAAAAUCUUGGAAAGUGUGGCCGUCCGAGUGAGGCAGUAGAUCUUUUCAACGAGAUGAAGAAAAUUGGAUGCAAUCCUGAUGUUUAUGCUUACAAUGCACUCAUGUCAGGGUUGGUAAGGGCUGGCAUGAUAGAAGAAGCUUUUUCUGCGCUCAGAACCAUGGAAGAAAAUGGUUGCACUCCAGACAUAAACUCGCAUAACAUUAUUCUAAAUGGCCUGGCUAGGACAGGUCGCCCAGAACAGGCAACUGAAAUGUUUAUGAAGAUGAAAGAUUCGUUGAUCAAGCCAGAUGCAGUGUCGUAUAACACCAUUCUUGGCAGUCUGAGCCGCUCUGGCAUGUUUGAGGAGGCUGCAAAGCUGAUGAGAGAGAUGAGUUCAAGAGGAUUUGAAUAUGAUCACAUCACUUACUCAUCAAUUCUUGAGGCGGUUGGUAAGGUUGAUGAAGAUGAUGAACCCAACUUUCCAUGAAGGAGACCUGGUAUUGUCUCAAAUUCAUUCCUUUACCAGUACUGUUAAUUUAUUAUGAAAUUUACAUUCACAUUACCUGUGCAUUAUAAUGGUAGUUUGACUGCAUUCAUUUAUUAGCAUGAAGACUCCCGCAGGGAAGGAUAAGCAUCAAUUUUCUUUCAUUAUCUUAUCUCAAUUUUCUUUCAUUAUCUUAUCUUUCGGAUACUAUGAGGAUGCACUGAUACCAGAAUACUUUUUAUACAAUGGCAAAUUCAUUGGGAAAAAAAAUACUUAGGAAUAAUAAUUCAUACUAGAGUCAUCUCAUCAUGCUUGCAAGUGAAUCAUUGAGAGGUAUUGCUCACGGGGAAGGGGGCAUAGAUAGCCAGAUAACAUUUUUUUUGGGGGCUUGCAUUUUGAUUAUUGACACUGCAUUUGAAAUUAAAAUCUGUUAAGCUCACUUAAAGAAAUUCAGUAAAGACUGCUGGGCUAAUACUUACUCUUGAUCAAAAUUGGGAAAGCAUAAGAAGAGAAUAUUUGAACCAAUCAUAGAAACAGAAAAUGAAUAUCAUAAAACUCUAUUUCCUGUACUCUUGAAGCUCAUAAAGCCACAGAGGUUGACUGUCUAACUAGUUUUUUGUAUUGGGUAGGACUGUAUGCGUUUUGUCAAUCAUGAUGCUUAAGUGAUGCAGACAGGUCAAAAGAACACUAGCUAAAUAAACUAUUAGAAACCCGCUUCCCUGAAGUGGUGCUGUAGCUUAUACAACCCUCUGUUGUGAGUGCAGUUGAAACACUUGAAAAGCUAUGCAUACCUUAAUUAAUUAAAGCAAAUGUUUUGUUGAGCCUUUUUUAUCCUGAUUUUCUUACUUCACUUGCCUGAGAUAAGGACAAAGAAAAAGGAAAAAUAGCUCAUUUCUCCUGAGAAGAGGUGAAGCAGCUUCUAUCAGUUGAUUUGUAGUUUUUUGGAACCAUGCCACGGCUUCUGAUGACAUCUAGUCUUGCAUGAUUAAAUUGUGUCAUGAAAGACUUCCUGAAACUGCACCUGUUGUUUGGUCAUCAUCAUAUCUACCAUAUGGCCCUUGCAUGAUUAAAUUGUGAUGGACUUCCUGAAGCAGUUUUCUGUUUUUGGACAUCAAUGCAUCUGUUAUACUGUUGUGAAGUGAUGGACUUCUUGAGUGCAUGUCAAACUGCUGGACAUGGUUCUUACAAUUGCAAUGAAAACCAAUAGCGCAGCGUUAUUUUCAACAACUAUAAAUGUGUUAUAGAGGCCCAUUAAGCUCCAAUAAUGGAUUCAAAGUCGGUAUUCUUCAAAACAGCUGAGCACCUGUAGUGUUGUUCAAAUAUGAUGUUGUGGAAAUUUUGUUUGUUGCAAAGUAGAAGAGGAACAAAAUCUCUCUAUCUUUCUGAAAGAAGUGGCUAUGUGCUUCUUGCUGCUGUGUGGUAUUAUUUAUUCUUGCUCUCUUGCUCCAUUUUCUGCUUUGUCUUGUGGGAUGAAUUAAAGGGAUCACAAAUUGGGUUAUUCAACUGACAGAUUAUUUAUAGUAAUGGGCCCUUUUGGUUAGUUCACCUGGACUUUGGAGGAAUGCAAUCUUCACCAAGUUGAAAAAAUCCUUAGCAGCUUAAGGGUUGCCCCUUGCUUUAAUAGGACCACCAGUUUAUCAAAUAAAUCGACGAACUUUUUACCAAACAUGAACUUUUACCAAGCACAGUGUGAUUGGUUCUGAUUUGGGCUGAGAACUGCACGGUUGCUGUUACCAGGUAAAGUGACAUUAGUGUUUUGCUUAACAAUGAAUCAAAGCAUUCGGAAAUGGAGGGAUAACUGGUUAGAGGGUUUUGGGCUGCUGGAGCAACAUGCUACUCAAAUCUUCCAGAGGAGUUGGUUAAUGCUUCUGUGCAGAUAUGGUGAUCAAUAAUGAGCAAUGGAGCUGGGAAUCUUUUCUCACUUGCUCCCCAUGCAGAUAGUGUUGAUCAUGGCUAAUUACCUUCCCCCCUCAAGUGGUAUGGAAAAGGAUGUGGUUUAUUGGCGAAACACCACACCAGGUACAUUUACUACUCAGUCUGCAUGUGAUGCACAAAUUAAUGAAGUGAAUUGUAGUCAUCGCAAGGAUCCUAUUUGGCGAUUGGUUUGGAAAUGGAAAGGUCUAGAGUGGAUCAAGGCUUUCUUAUGGACAGUGGCUCAAAAUGUUUUGUAGACAAAUGAGGUUAGAGUGGGUUGACAUUUUACAGAGAAUCUAGUUGCCAUCGUUGCUUAGGGGAAACAGAGAAAAGGAUGCGUGCACUUAGAGACUGCCCUAGUGCUACUAUUAUUUGGAAUUCUCUUGUUAAACAACGGGACAAGGAAAUGCUUUAUAGUGCAGGAGCGACCACUUGGCUGUUAAGAAGCCUCUCGGCUUGUGAUGAGGCCAUGGCAGUAGUUACUUGGUCUGCAUUAUUUGGAGUAACAAUCUGGUACUGGCGGAAGUUUAGAAACCAAAGAAUUUUUGCCAAUGAUUCUAUGUCUCACACUUGUCCCUUGAACGUGAUUAAGAGUCUAGUAGCAGACAUAAAACGUACCAAUGAGGUAGAUGGCGGAGCUUGUAGCAAUAUUAAGUGAGUUGGAUUGGUUGGAAAUACCCUCCAAGGGAGUUGAUGAAGCCUAAUAUUGAUGAUAGUAGAAGGGGAAAUUCUGGGUGCUCCGGAGCAGAUGGACUCAUUGGGGACGGUAAUGGAUCUUGAAUUGUUGGAUUUGCUAUAAAUACUGGUGUGGGAAUCUCAGUUAGAGCUGAGCUAUGUGCAAUUACUGCUGGAUUAGAGAUUGCAUGGUCGCGAGGUAUUACCAAACUGAUUAUUGAAUGGGAUUCUGAGCUGGUGAUAGAUUGCAUUACAAAGGAGUCAAUUAAAAUGGAUGUAUAUUUUAAUUGUCAAAGCAAGGGAACUAUGAAAAAGAGAUUGGGAAGUGGUAGUGCAACAUGCUUUCAGGGAAAGCCAAUUCAUUAGCAGACUGUUUAGCUGACUAUGGGUGAAGUAAAGAUCUAUUUGAUAGGUGAUUGGGAAUAAUUACCAAUCCUCCUUUAAUCUUUUUCUCCUCCUUGUAUUUCAAUCUCAUUGGGUCCAUUUUUUCUCGUUUGAUUUAAUCUAGAGCUGAUUUAGCUCUAUUUUUAUUUUUUUAAUAAAAAAA